Molecule: unclassified non-coding RNA, 89 nt
Filed under: Pseudomonas orientalis
Lineage: Bacteria; Pseudomonadati; Pseudomonadota; Gammaproteobacteria; Pseudomonadales; Pseudomonadaceae
Source: RNAcentral
UGUGGGAGGGGGCUUGCCCCCGAUAGCGGUGUGUCAGGUGUAUUUGCUUAACCUGACACACUGCCAUCGGGGGCAAGCCCCCUCCCACA